RNAcentral lists this ribosomal RNA (587 nucleotides) under Salmonella enterica subsp. enterica serovar Muenchen. RNAcentral describes it as "partial 23S ribosomal RNA". It matches the Rfam family "Bacterial large subunit ribosomal RNA", at positions 711 to 1244 of the family's 2925-position model. The record is from RNAcentral. Lineage: Bacteria; Pseudomonadati; Pseudomonadota; Gammaproteobacteria; Enterobacterales; Enterobacteriaceae. RNAcentral also lists the same sequence under 2 other names.
AGACCCGAAACCCGGUGAUCUAGCCAUGGGCAGGUUGAAGGUUGGGUAACACUAACUGGAGGACCGAACCGACUAAUGUUGAAAAAUUAGCGGAUGACCUGUGGCUGGGGGUGAAAGGCCAAUCAAACCGGGAGAUAGCUGGUUCUCCCCGAAAGCUAUUUAGGUAGCGCCUCGUGAAUUCAUCUCCGGGGGUAGAGCACUGUUUCGGCUAGGGGGCCAUCCCGGCUUACCAACCCGAUGCAAACUGCGAAUACCGGAGAAUGUUAUCACGGGAGACACACGGCGGGUGCUAACGUCCGUCGUGAAGAGGGAAACAACCCAGACCGCCAGCUAAGGUCCCAAAGUCAUGGUUAAGUGGGAAACGAUGUGGGAAGGCCCAGACAGCCAGGAUGUUGGCUUAGAAGCAGCCAUCAUUUAAAGAAAGCGUAAUAGCUCACUGGUCGAGUCGGCCUGCGCGGAAGAUGUAACGGGGCUAAACCAUGCACCGAAGCUGCGGCAGCGAACGUAUCACCCAAGACAACUUUGCGGAGUUGACGAUUGACGGAGCGAAGCGACGUCAAAGCGUUCAUUAAAGUCGAGUUGGCUUA